RNAcentral lists this unclassified non-coding RNA (514 nucleotides) under Aspergillus intermedius. RNAcentral's name for it is "sequence contains ITS1, 5.8S rRNA gene and ITS2". The stretch from base 146 to 299 matches the Rfam family "5.8S ribosomal RNA". The record is from RNAcentral. Lineage: Eukaryota; Fungi; Ascomycota; Eurotiomycetes; Eurotiales; Aspergillaceae.
UACCGAGUGCGGGCCCUCUGGGUCCAACCUCCCAUCCGUGUCUAUCUGUACCCUGUUGCUUCGGCGUGGCCACGGCCCGCCGGAGACUAACAUUUGAACGCUGUCUGAAGUUUGCAGUCUGAGUUUUUAGUUAAACAAUCGUUAAAACUUUCAACAACGGAUCUCUUGGUUCCGGCAUCGAUGAAGAACGCAGCGAAAUGCGAUAAUUAAUGUGAAUUGCAGAAUUCAGUGAAUCAUCGAGUCUUUGAACGCACAUUGCGCCCCCUGGUAUUCCGGGGGGCAUGCCUGUCCGAGCGUCAUUGCUGCCCUCAAGCACGGCUUGUGUGUUGGGCUUCCGUCCCUGGCAACGGGGACGGGCCCAAAAGGCAGUGGCGGCACCAUGUCUGGUCCUCGAGCGUAUGGGGCUUUGUCACCCGCUCCCGUAGGUCCAGCUGGCAGCUAGCCUCGCAACCAAUCUUUUUAACCAGGUUGACCUCGGAUCAGGUAGGGAUACCCGCUGAACUUAAGCAUAUCA